UUUAGACUAGAGGGGGAGCAAUGGAACAUAACAAUUUUAUGAUUACUCGCAUUUAAAGGAAAGAUUGUAGGAAAUACAUGUGAAUUUGGAAUCUCAUAUUGAGUAAUAAUAGGCAAGGAUAAUUAUCUCCCCCUACUUUCAGGUUCCCCUAUCUCCUCGCUAAUUAGCACAAUGAUCUGCCCCACAAUUUUAGGUUGACCUUAUUUGUGGCUCACGAGCCAUGGAGUUAGCUAUAUAUAUAAAUCUUGAAAAAUAAUCCAAAGCGAAGGGGGAUAAACAAAUUAAGCACUAGCAAAAGAAAACAUAGAGAUAGCGAGCCAGGCAUACCAAAAUGGCGAGAAAAAAUGUUGCAAUUUUGUUGAUGGUGUGCCUCGUAGUCAGCAGCAUUGUUGAGACGACGCAGGCGCGCCAGUUCACAUCAGAAGAGUGCUACACAUAUUGCUACGAAAGUUGCGUCUUCCUCUCCGCCAUUUGCAAUUGGAUGUGCAGAGGCCGCUGCAAAAACCCCAUCUUCUUCGGCGGUGAUGGUGAAGAGAACUUGUCUCCCCAGGUAGGAGUUGGGGCAUGAUUGAAUGCACUUAGCAUGGUGAAAUGCAAGGCUUUUCUCAUGAACUAGGACAUAACUUAGGAGUAUUAAUUAUGUUGUUUUCCUCCUUCCCUCUUGUCAUUUGUAACCAUAAUGAUUAAUUAUUCUUUCAUACCAUCAAUGAAUCAUUUUUUCCCUGGUUGCCGUUUA
Molecule: long non-coding RNA, 736 nt
Organism: Lotus japonicus
Lineage: Eukaryota; Viridiplantae; Streptophyta; Magnoliopsida; Fabales; Fabaceae
Exons: 2
Source: RefSeq, a predicted model, not a curated record